AGUUGAGUUUAAAUAAAUUCACCCUUUUUAAAUUUAGUUACUCGCAUCAAAUUUAAAAUCAUAUUUGUUUUUGCUUAUAGAUCAUUUUCAUCCCACAGUUUCAAAUGAUUCUCCCUCAUAUAAAUGAAAGGUAUGUUAAGUUUCGGCAUACCAGUAGCAGAAACAUUCCAAAAAUAUACAAAUUGUACACUUAAGAUUCAAAAGAGAGACAUGACAGAGAAAAUUACACUUUCUCUAUUGCCUGCCUUCUUUCUUCUUCUUCGGCUUUAAUCCAGGCGGCCUUGUCUCUUUCAAGUUUGGAGAGAUGCGGCCUGAUGGAGUUCCCUAAACUUAAGCCUCCCCAUACUUCUUGCAACUCCCUCUCCCUUGCUUCUCUACGAGAUACAGAGAAUCUAAUCUGGUCUUCAGGUUGCUGAGAGAAAGCCAUCUUCUCUCUCUCAAGUCUUGAUUUAUGUUUAACCAAUAUUUGGUCAAGCCCACCUUCUUCAUUCAUCUGCAUGUGCACAUUUCUGCCUUUUGUCUUCAUCUUUUGGUCUUCUCUGUUCAAACUGAACUCAAUUUUCUCUUUCUCUAGUCUAGAUACAUGCUUCACUAAAACUUUGUCUAAGCCUUCAUAGUCUGUAACAGAAUUUCCUCCAUGUUUAUUUUGGUGACUAAUAUUUCCAUGGUUGUUUCUCAAUGACAAGGCUUGCAUUUUCUCCCUUUCCAGUCUAUGCACCGGCUUCACGAAGAUCUUGUCCAAGCUGUCUUCUGUCUCUGAGAGUGUUAUUAUAGACUCAUCAGGACCCUUGGCAGUAUUUGGCAGUGGCAAGGUCAUUUGCUUUUUAUCCAUUUUAGAUUUUCUAUCCUUUCCCUUGUUCAAGUCAACAUUUUCCUUAAAUGCUGCUUCUCCAUCGGAAGAACAGGUGUCUUUCUCAGAUACUGAGAUUGAAGUAGACGAAUUCGCUUUCUUGUUCAAGUUCAUCAGCUUAUCCUCUUCAACUAGGUCAUUUUUCCUUUUGUUCUUUGCUUCCUGGACCUCUUUUUCGAGUCUUGACACAUGUUUUAUCAGAAACUUAUCCAGGCUGGGGACUUCAGGAAUUUCUUGUUUUCCUCGACCAACCACCUUACCUGGUGCUCGUUCAAGUUCCUUGCCAUCUACAAUUUCAGAAUUCUUUCUUAUCUGUUGAGCUUCCUUUUCAAGCUUUGCUGUAUGCUUUAUCAGUAUACUUCCCAGGUCAGGAAUGACCUCCAUUGAGUCAUUUACUGGUUUCUUAUGAGCAAUUUCAAAAGUUUGCCCUGAAUUCUUCUUUGCCUCUUCAAUCUCUUUCUCAAGCUUAGAGGAAUGCUUCACAAGAAUACUCCCCAAAUCAGGAAGAGGAUCAUGUUUAUUUUCUGAAUUUACCCUUCCAUUGUCAUCUUUAUCUGUAUUCUUUAAAUCUCCUUCUGCAGAUCCAUUCCUCUUGCUGUUCUUAGCUUCUUGCACCUCCCUUUCUAGUUUUGACAUGUGCUUAACCAAAAACUUGUCUAGACUUGGGACUUCUGACUCAGCAGCUUGCUUCCUUUUCAUCUGCUCCAGAUUUGAGUAUCUCAUUGUUCCUGGACCCACAGAAGACAUUCUUCGAGGAAUGUUAAAAUUUGAGGUAUAAUCAGCUGCAGAGUCAUCAUGCAGCUUACUGCUUUCCACUUCUGCUAAGGCAGCAUUUAAACCACAAGUUGCCACUAUAGUGGCCAAAGAAGAAAGUUCAUCUUCUUUCAAACAUCUGAGUCUCUCAAGCAUAAUAUCCACAAGUUUUGUCAUAUUAAGCUGAUCCAAUGACUGCCUCCUUUUCUGGUAUUUCCUCUGUCUUGUCUCAAUUGCUGGCAACUUACAGUCAGCGUCUGAAGCGCUAAAGCCAUCAUUUUGUGAUACUGUUUCAAGUUCUGACCCUGACUCUGAUUCAUGCUCUGAAGAAAGCUCUAAUAAUUCUUGAUUAUUAUCAUCCAUAUCUGGAUUCUGACUUAUUUUGCACAGCAACUCUUUGACUUCAUCUUCGUUAAAAGAAGGACAGGUUGCAAGCCUUUUAAAUGCAAUUUUUACUGCUGCAGCUACUUCUUUAUCCACCUCAAAUGCUGUUUCAAAUGAUGCCGUGACAGUAUGAGUGGUAGAUCUCCCUCCAUUAGCUGUAGAUGUUUCAAUUUGACUAGGCUUCCGAGGGCAAUUUGGCAUAUCAUACAUGAUCACCCCCAUAGCUGCAGCUACUUCAAAAGCUUCAGCUGCAUUUUUCUCUGCCUUUAGCAGAAGGGCUUCUGCUUCUUUGCUCUGGAUCCUGGCUGCUCGAAGUAUUCUACACCAAGAUGCUUCAACCAAUGCACCUUUUCGAGCCUCCAUUGCUGUAUGUGCUGCCUCCCUUGCUGCAAUUUUUUCUCUCAAGACUCUUGAAUAAUGUGGAUUAGAAUCUCCUAGUGUCUCAUCAAGAGUUAAAUUCAUGCCAUCUAUUUCCUGCAGCAUUUUGAUUUUCCUCUUCAAGUAGGAGUCCACCUUUUUGCGUGGGAACCAGUUGAUAGGAGAACUCUUACGAUGAGGAGGCUUCUUAAUUUGUGAUGUAAAUUUGGUUAGAGCAUUCAAAGUUGAUUGGCCAACCCCUUUUGGUGAUUUAUUCUGCACUAUUCAAUAGCAGAAAUGUAAAAUCUGGAAAUGAAAAUGGAGUCAAAUGCAGCUAAAGCUUUUGAAGUAGCUUCAACUGGCUACGGGUGUUGCGUUCGCGCACUUAUUGAAAAGAAUGCAAGACGAAAACUUGAAGUUCAAAAUGUCUUUCCAGCCUUAGAAGCUGAAGUCACAUUUUCACGGGUAUCGCAUUCUUCCGUAUGAGAAUCAACAGCGGUUUCAGUGCUGUGCUUUAACACAGAGAUGCAACCCAAGUCGAGGCACCCGAGAUCCAUUGCCAGAUUAACCUUUUCAGAUAGAUAGCUCUCGAGAAUUAAAGCCAAAAAAAUUUAAAAUGAUUGAAGAGAUAGAGAGAAGGAGAUGUAUGAAUAAAAUAAAUGUGGGUUUGAAAGAUCGUCUUUGGUGGCGUUACGUUUCUUGAAAAUGGAAAGCAGCCAACGGCUAUCUUCUA
This 3077-nucleotide unclassified non-coding RNA is filed under the name Hevea brasiliensis (rubber tree). Lineage: Eukaryota; Viridiplantae; Streptophyta; Magnoliopsida; Malpighiales; Euphorbiaceae. The record is from RNAcentral.